This is a non-coding RNA of Camelina sativa (false flax), 209 nucleotides long. The record is from RefSeq and is a predicted model, not a curated record. NCBI's taxonomy places the organism in Eukaryota, Viridiplantae, Streptophyta, Magnoliopsida, Brassicales, Brassicaceae.
GAAGAAGGGAACGAAGACCAGAAGCUGCAACGACCUGCUUCUCGUCUUAACGAGAGGAUUCUCUCAUCCUUGUCAAGACGUUCUGUAGCUGCACAUCCAUGUCAUGAUCUUGAGAUUGGACCUGGAGCUCCACAGAUUUUCAACGUGGUUGUAGAGAUCACAAAAGGAAGCAAGGUCAAAUAUGAACUUGACAAAAAGAUAGGACUCGU